AUGUUGUUCUUGAACAGAAGCUAACUCCAGGUCGAUCUAAAUACUGCAGUCCAACAAGUGCAAAAAGAGUAGUCAACCUUAACAUAUUAAGGUAUCACAUUUCUAUCCAGGAAUAACAUGUCUUCAUGCAGCUAAUAAGAACUACUUGAAC
This is a long non-coding RNA of Telopea speciosissima, 151 nucleotides long. RefSeq lists it as uncharacterized. Lineage: Eukaryota; Viridiplantae; Streptophyta; Magnoliopsida; Proteales; Proteaceae. The transcript is spliced from 3 exons. The record is from RefSeq and is a predicted model, not a curated record.